Molecule: ribosomal RNA, 475 nt
Filed under: uncultured bacterium
Lineage: Bacteria
Description: partial 16S ribosomal RNA
Rfam family: Bacterial small subunit ribosomal RNA
Source: RNAcentral
GACGAACGCUGGCGGCGUGCUUAACACAUGCAAGUCGAACGGUAAGGCCCUUCGGGGUACACGAGUGGCGAACGGGUGAGUAACACGUGGGUGAUCUGCCCUGCACUUCGGGAUAAGCCUGGGAAACUGGGUCUAAUACCGGAUAGGACCACUGCCUGCAUGGGUGGUGGAAAGCUUUUGCGGUGUGGGUUGGGCCCGCGGCCUAUCAGCUUGUUGGUGGGGUGAUGGCCUACCAAGGCGACGACGGGUAGCCGGCCUGAGAGGGGGACCGGCCACACUGGGACUGAGAUACGGCCCAGACUCCUACGGGAGGCAGCAGUGGGGAAUAUUGCACAAUGGGCGCAAGCCUGAUGCAGCGACGCCGCGUGAGGGAUGACGGCCUUCGGGUUGUAAACCUCUUUCAGCACCGACGAAGCGCAAGUGACGGUAGGUGCAGAAGAAGGACCGGCCAACUACGUGCCAGCCGCCGCCGUAA